AGAAAUGUAGCUCUGUGGCAGAGCAUCUGUUUUGCAUGCAGAAGAUUUAGGCUCAGUCCCUGGCAUCUCCA
Podarcis lilfordi (Lilford's wall lizard) is the source of this 71-nucleotide non-coding RNA. NCBI's taxonomy places the organism in Eukaryota, Metazoa, Chordata, Lepidosauria, Squamata, Lacertidae. The record is from the annotation of a GenBank genome assembly.